This 598-nucleotide long non-coding RNA is filed under the name Nicotiana benthamiana. RNAcentral's name for it is "long non-coding RNA (NBEN_LNC036395)". Lineage: Eukaryota; Viridiplantae; Streptophyta; Magnoliopsida; Solanales; Solanaceae. The record is from RNAcentral.
AGAAGCUUAAUUAGAACAUACCAGUAAGAAAUGCAAAUGUAGAAAAAUAAGCAGUUUCCCACAGCCUAGCCUUGGUUUUCAGCCGGCUAGGUAAGGCAACAAUAUAAUAGUAAUAGAGAAAAGAGAGAGAUUUAGUGGAGUGUGUGUUUGGAACUCAAGUAUUUAUGCCUUGUAUUCGUGUGUUUGAAAAAAAAAGUACAUGGUAUUUAUAGCUUUUUGAAAAUGAGUAAGAGAGGGGUAAUACGCUACAAAAAUGGAAACAAUUAUGAUUCAAAAUCAAUUAUACAGGUGAUUGCCUUUAAUUCAAGGAUCACUUGCUUAACAGGUAGUCAUGUUCAAAAUAAGGAAAGAAAUCGAUUUGUAAGUAGGUUGGCAGUUGACACAAAAGAAGUAGUAAAACAUUAAGUAAGCAACCGAGUCUAGGUACAGAAAUACUCUAAUUUUAGAAAGGAAUCAGUUAAGGCAAAAUAGGAGAAGAAAUCAAUUAAACUUAACAGACGAGUGAAAUCACAAUUUUACAAAGGAAAGUUUGAAAUCAGUCACAAGUUUGAAGGUCAGUCAAGAAAGGAAAUUCGGCAUAUAAAUAGGAUGCACAAAC